Astatotilapia calliptera (eastern happy) is the source of this 4482-nucleotide long non-coding RNA. The record is from Ensembl. NCBI's taxonomy places the organism in Eukaryota, Metazoa, Chordata, Actinopteri, Cichliformes, Cichlidae.
CUGUGUAAUAAAAAUAUGUGCUCACGACUUUGGCCUUGAGAGCGAUAAGAAGCGAUCGCCUCAUUCUGCAGGUGCAAGAUAUCUGCAAGCGAAGAGACUAGAACACCCAAGGCCGCUUUCCUUUUAUGGAGUUGUUUUUCUGCUAAUGCAGCACUGUCCUCACAACCCCCUCCUGUAAGUUUUAGAGAAUAUAUACCCAUCCUCACAGCAAAUAUUGGGAAUCUCCUGAUGUGAGCUGUUUGAGAGGUUGUCUCUGUCUCAAUAAAAGUUCACUGAUUCCCCCAUCUGCAGCAGGUGUCCGGUUGUCUUCAUUCUCCGCCAGCCUGGUUAAGUCAAUUCCUCCUUAACAUCUAAAAGAACCUAUUUAAUGAAGGAAGACGGGUUCACUUUGUGUUUAAUAUUAUUCUAUUGCUGUUGUUGUUUUUUUUUAUAUCCUUCAAUUGGCGUCACGGAACAGGAUCCGCUCCAGGCCAAACUGGAACGGGUGGGAGGACAUCGGCCGUGGUCUGAGUGAACGGAGUUUGGACAAAAGCUGUGUACACACAAAAACAAGGUAAGCAGACCUUUUAUUUCUGCUAUAUUGAACAUUAUAAAAAUACUUAGUGUCCAAACUCCUAGUAAUUCAUAACCAAAAUUGUCUGGCUUACUUAAGGCUUGUUGAGAAUCAGACAAGUGAAUAAGAGAUAAGUGAAUAAGAAAUAAGUGAAUAAGUGAAUAAAGAUAAGAGUGAACUGAGGUCUGACCACGGUUGCGGCCGACGGGUCGCUCUCCGGUGUCGGAUAAAUACCUCAGUGCAGGUCUGGGACCUUGAAAGGGUUUAUUAGUAACGCCUUUCUAAACAAAUUAAAAGGUUAAAGGCCUUGAGAAUAUUUUUUAGUAAUAUUCUCUAAACUACAGAAGGGUUAGGAAGGCCCAGAGGACUUUAUUAGAAAAGAUCCUCUAAAACUUAAAAAGAGAAGUACUGGUUGGAGUCCAAAGGACGGGUCCCUUUGAUCAAUAGGAGAAAACGGAUCUCUUCUUAAAACCCCGAUGAUUUUAGUGUUUUAAAUGUUUUGAUGUUCUGUUUGAUAUUGGACACACAUAAAUACACGCUGAAUGCUUGCUGUGGAACACUGGGCAGGACAGUUUGGUUCUCCGUUGUUCACAGAUUACACAAUUAAAGGAACUAGGUUCCUCUUUUGGUUAAAAUAAUACACCACACAUAGAAUUUUUUUUUUACACAUUUAUUACAUACAUAAGGAGGGUAAUGAGUGACUGCAGGUAAUGUAUGAAGUGUGAAUGAGACGUGUGAACAAGGUGACAACCAACUAGCACCCCUAUCAGGAAGCUCUAGGCAAGGUUACCCGCCAGACUCCGGUUUGGUAGAAGCUUGGUAACACCUGAAGGGAUAUUUCAGUGCUGACUCACCUUUAAAGCAGCGCCCCAGCUGAUUAGUGCCUAACAGAGGCAGAAACCCAGCUGGCCCAAAUUCUCCUUUAAAAGCAAUAAAAGAACACUCCUCCAUUGACAGUAAAAUGGAUGGAGAAUUAGAUCGAGAAACUAAUGAUGAUGGUUGGGGUCCCGGUGUUAUGCUUAGCACAUUGGGAGAACAAUUAACAUGUGUUGAGACAGUCAUCAACUCCACACACCAGCCUAAAGAAGCAAAAAAGCAGAAAGAGUCAUUGAGGAAAACAGCUGAAAGAUGCUUUUAAAUUAGUCAAAAAUUUAGCAACACCAGCAGAGAAAUAGAGAAGUGAGAUAAAGUUGUUCUGGCAUAUGGUGUUUUCUUAGGAAUUCGAGCGCUAUCGGGAGGGCGUUCCCGAGGUGUGUAUUGAUCAGCAAGGCUAGGCCUGGGCUAUAGGUGCUUUUAAAUUAGUCAAAAAGUUAGGGGUAACCUCUUCUGGCAUAUGUCUAUGCGGGCCCGUGUGUAAAUAGAACAUAAAUUACCGGUGUGUGUAAAUAAAGUGUAAAAUAGUGGUAUAAACUGUCUGUUGAAUUUCUCCUGAGUGUUGAAAAAAGGAAAAACUCUUUUCUGCUCUCUCUCUGAGAGAGGGGCUGUGUGUGUGAGACAGGAAGUGUGCAUGCCCAUAGAAGGAAAGAGAUGAGGUAAACUCUGUGCAGAUAGACCGAAGUAAAAAAAAAAAAAAAAAAAAAAAAGGAAAAGGGUCUCUCUCUCUGUCUCUGUGAGAGGAAAAAGGUGGGGGCCGAGUGAGCCCGCGGGGCCGAGCGGGUCCGCGGGAGCGAGCGUGUAUGCUGUAUGAGGAAGAAGGGAGUGAGAGGGAGCGAGUGAAAAGAGUAAUCGAGUAUUUGGUGAUUUUUUUUUAUUAUUUCAGAGGCACUGGAUCUGCACAUCGGAAAUUACAAGCAUUACACGUCGGCGAGAAAAUUGUUGUAAGUGAGUUUCUCCGCAUUGAAAUGGGUUCUGGAGGAAACACUUGUGGGGACAAUUAGAAACGAGAGUCCCUGUUUAAAAAAGGAUUCAGCGAGGUAAUCCAAACUCAAGUUCUUGUUUCUUUUUGAGAUGACGUCAUUUUGCUGAGUGUGGAAACUAGAUGCGACGACAGGUUUCACUAUCAGCAAAGAACGGAUGAAUGGAUGAAAGACUGGGAAUAAAAACAAACGGACUGACUGGUAAAAGAUGACAAGACUUGACCAUGACUCAAGGUUAACCACCUCCACCUAGAUAGGAUAAAAGGGUGGAUGAAUUUAUGUGGGUUUCUUUUACAGGAGUAGAAGGAUGACAAAAUAUUCGAGGAUGAGUGAACCUGUAAAUGCCAUUUUUGUGUCUUGUGUAGCUUACAGAGGUAACUGCGCAGCGUUACCAUUUACAUUUUCUUCCCUACAGGGUUACAGUUUUAAUGUUUUUCUAUUACAGGAUUUCUGGGCGGAUGUGUGAAGAAACGGUGUUUAUGGGUUAGGAGUUGGGGAUGCUAUUACACUGUAUUUACAGGAAAUGUUUUAUAGCACCUAUGGAAUGAGGAUGCCUGACUACGGUCAAUGUGCUGCUAAUGUUUGCUUUGCUUUGGUGAGAGGGGUGCAGUAGAAAACAGACAAGUGACAUGAAAACAAGUAAUAAUAACAAAUAACAAAUUUGGGGACAGUUUGACCUAGAGCCCACUAACUGGCCAUUAGGGGCUCUCUCUCUCUCUCUCUCUCUCUCUCUCUCUCUCUCUCUCUCUCUCUCUCUCUCUCUCUCUCUCUCUCUCUCUCUCUCAGGUUGUUGCUCUUUAACUCCUAGAACACGCCCUUGGCGAGGUGGGGGGAACUGGACCACCUUUCUGUGCCCCAUCAUCCUCUAUUAGACGACAUCCAAGCUAAGUAAACAUGUCUUGGCCCUUUCCCCCUGAAAUGACAGGCAGGCAAAGAUGUUGCGUCUUUCUUUGCUUCCUGGCCCUGGGUCUCAUUCCCAUUGGCAUAAUCCUGAUCUGUGAAGGGCCCCCGACACUUCUGACACCUUCAAGUUCAAAAGCUUCGCCCCCUUCUGACAGUCCCAAUCUGACAAAUGUAGCCCCUAGGGUCUUGCCCACCACUUCCUCUCCAGUUUUACCAUAUUCACUUUUGAAUGUCCUUAGCAGUUACCGUUCUGAGUUUAUUUUACGGUUGAUUUAUUCUUUCACAUUUUCACGUUUAUAUCUCUCAUUAUUAUAGUAUACUCUGUACUCUCCACAUUUUUAUCAUUACUUAUGCUUUUUGGUUGCUGAGUUACAGGAACUGUUAAUUUUGUGUCACUACCCUGGUUGCACUAACUCGUUGUACCCUUGUGUGCAGGACAGCUGUUACUGCUUUCGUCGGGAACCGAGACUGCUUGCAGCCGACCCCUGGGCAGGGUGGUGCCUGGACUCUUUUCUCCUCAUCUGCAAUGACAGAUAAAGACAAAUGAAAAGACCCGAGGAGUUUUUCGAGCCAGGCUUCGACACGUCUCUGUGUUCCUUUGAAUGUUACUUAUUUUUGUGUGUUGACCCAUUUAAGAUGGGUCAAAAGGGGGAUUUGAAGAAAAUAUAAUCUGAUCAAACAUUAUUCAGCUUUAAAUAUUGUUCAGCUUUAAAGUUACUGUGCAACUGUGUAAUAAAAAUAUGUGCUCACGACUUUGGCCUUGAGAGCGAUAAGAAGCGAUCGCCUCAUUCUGCAGGUGCAAGAUAUCUGCAAGCGAAGAGACUAGAACACCCAAGGCCGCUUUCCUUUUAUGGAGUUGUUUUUCUGCUAAUGCAGCACUGUCCUCACAACCCCCUCCUGUAAGUUUUAGAGAAUAUAUACCCAUCCUCACAGCAAAUAUUGGGAAUCUCCUGAUGUGAGCUGUUUGAGAGGUUGUCUCUGUCUCAAUAAAAGUUCACUGAUUCCCCCAUCUGCAGCAGGUGUCCGGUUGUCUUCAUUCUCCGCCAGCCUGGUUAAGUCAAUUCCUCCUUAACAUCUAAAAGAACCUAUUUAAUGAAGGAAGACGGGUUCACUUUGUGUUUAAUAUUAUUCUAUUGCUGUUGUUGUUUUUUUUUAUAUCCUUCAGUGGGC